GCCGGGAUGGCGAAAUUGGUAGACGCGCCAGACUUAGGAUCUGGUACCGAAAGGUGUGCAGGUUCGAGUCCUGUUCCCGGCA
This 82-nucleotide transfer RNA is filed under the name Verrucomicrobiota bacterium. RNAcentral's name for it is "Verrucomicrobia bacterium tRNA-Leu". It matches the Rfam family "tRNA". From Rfam's summary of the family: Transfer RNA (tRNA) molecules are approximately 80 nucleotides in length. Their secondary structure includes four short double-helical elements and three loops (D, anti-codon, and T loops). The record is from RNAcentral. Lineage: Bacteria; Pseudomonadati; Verrucomicrobiota.